UACGUAGGUGGCAAGCGUUGUCCGGAAUGACUGGGCGUAAAGGGCGUGUAGGUGGAUUGAUCAGUCGGAUGUGAAAUACCUGGGCUUAACCUGGGAACUGCAUUCGAUACGGUCAGUCUUGAGUGCAGGAGAGGGCAGUGGAAUUCCCAGUGUAGCGGUGAAAUGCGUAGAGAUUGGGAGGAACACCAGUGGCGAAGGCGGCUGCCUGGACUGUAACUGACACUGAGGCGCGAAAGCGUGGGGAGCAAACAGGAUUAGAUACCCUGGUAGUCCACGCCGUAAACGAUGGGUACUAGGUGUAGGAGGUAUCGACCCCUUCUGUGCCGGAGUUAACACAAUAAGUACCCCGCCUGGGGAGUACGGCCGCAAGGUUGAA
Molecule: ribosomal RNA, 376 nt
Filed under: uncultured bacterium
Lineage: Bacteria
Description: bacterial SSU rRNA
Rfam family: Bacterial small subunit ribosomal RNA
Source: RNAcentral